RNAcentral lists this small RNA (75 nucleotides) under Xanthomonas vasicola. RNAcentral's name for it is "sX9 sRNA". It matches the Rfam family "Xanthomonas sRNA sX9". Lineage: Bacteria; Pseudomonadati; Pseudomonadota; Gammaproteobacteria; Lysobacterales; Lysobacteraceae. The record is from RNAcentral.
AUGUACCACUCGUACACUGCGGUUCCUGCGCGCCGUCCGCGCCCACCUGACGGCUGCUCGCCCGCAAUAUCCGCC